RNAcentral lists this long non-coding RNA (205 nucleotides) under Lathyrus oleraceus (garden pea). RNAcentral's name for it is "Pisum sativum (pea) long non-coding RNA (PSAT_LNC002961)". Lineage: Eukaryota; Viridiplantae; Streptophyta; Magnoliopsida; Fabales; Fabaceae. The record is from RNAcentral.
GGAAAGAAACCUAAGCCUCUUGAUACCCUGUAAAAAUAUAAUUAUUUGCUUUUCAUUGAUAUGAUUUAUGAAUUAUAUACCACUCUUGUUAAAUCUUAUAUGAUACUAAUAAUAGCUAAAUAAUAUUGAUAACUAAUCGAUAUAAUUAACGCAUAAUGAAUAUAAUACAUACAAUGAAAAUAUUUCAAAUAAUACGUAACGUAAU